This 1511-nucleotide long non-coding RNA is filed under the name Gallus gallus (chicken). RNAcentral describes it as "lncRNA (ENSGALG00010026844.1)". The record is from RNAcentral. Lineage: Eukaryota; Metazoa; Chordata; Aves; Galliformes; Phasianidae.
GCUUGUGGUGCGAGCUCUCAGUUCUCACGCUACGGGUACAUAUUUCAUUCAUGAAAUCAAUAGGCAAUAACCGAUGCCUGAUCUUUAUGGAACUCAUUCAGUGCAAGGGCACGUUUUAUGUGGUCUCACAAGGUAAAUGUAAAAUGGAUGGUGUUGAAAAAGCCAGCAAGUCCUUGGCCCAAGAGCUGGGGCUGCUGCACCGAGCCAGGUACUGGCCCUGUGUCUCUUCGGUGACACAAAGGUCUGGUCCCCACCAUCAUGGGUACUACUGCAGGGUGACAGCCUGAGUUACCACCUAGCAUUGGGGAACAUGAAGGAAGCUGGAAAUUACAACUGAGCAUGCAGAGAAGACGGUAGAAACCACGCUGAUCUCAUGGGAUCUUCAAGCCUAUAAUCUACAUGGGUUUAUGCCUGAACUUAGCUUUACGCUAGUUUCUUAUAUGGAGAUGAAGAAGAAUGACUUGGGAGUGCCUGUAGAGGGUGUAAUUUUACCCAUCCCUUGAGUGAUAUAUCACAGAGCAGAGGUGAACCUCCUCUUCUAGCAGCAGCACUGUUUUAGGUGCCAUCAAUGACAUCCUUGUCAGCCAGAUAUGUGUACUGACUGCUACACUUCCUAAAAUGCUGUUGACUUUGCUGAUGGUUCAAAGUGUGGGGAAGUUUCAUAGGCUUCAGAUCUGGAUGCUUAUCAAAGCCUGCCUGCUCUCCUGCAGUACAAGAAGACCUGUACGUGAUCUUCUGCUCCUCCCGUGCCCUGCCACAUUAAACCAUUUAUGUAGAAAGUAAAUGGUCAGAUAUAUGAAUGCUGAAAGCUCUCUACUGUCAUCCUGCGAUGUGCUGCAGCACCCAGAGGGAGGAGUGAGCCUGGAGACCACCUCUUUCACAGCAGUGAGCUCCUGGUGCCACAGCGAUGGCUGUAUGUACAAAAGCUGUUGGUAUGGUGCUGUCUCUGACCAGAACAGCAAGCCGUGCCCAGCUGGGGGAGAGAAGCACAUCUUUGAACCAACCUUCUCUUUCUUUCUCCCAGCACUGACUUCCAUGGGCUGCAAAGAGAAGCAUUUCUCCCUCACUUCACCAGUGCUGUGUGAAAUGCCCUCUAAAUGCUAAUUUCAUUUCACUUCUACAACAGUAGAAAUAAAUACAGCACAAAUCUUCCUUCUCUGCAGUGCUUUUUUUCUUGACUGCUGUAUCUAAAUGUCCCUUCGAUCUAGUAUCUCUUAAUAGUUCAGUAAAGAAUUACUCAUGGGACUAUCCUUUUUUUUUUUUUUUUUUUUUUGCCUUGAAGGCAGUCCCUAUUACUCCACAGUAUGGAAACCAACUGGGAAAGUAAUCUAUGCAAAUUACAUGUACUUUUCGGGUUGAAUCGCAUUCCCUUCGCUCAUGGUAAUGAGUCACUUGGCAUGAAGUGGACUUACAGUGAAUGGAGAGAGCAUAUAAGGGCGCUGCUUCUCAAGAAUUACUUCUACUUGCUGAAUCUCAUUUAGGCCUGGAACCAUGAGGGGUGAGGCUCUGCU